RNAcentral lists this ribosomal RNA (520 nucleotides) under uncultured fungus. Its description in RNAcentral is "eukaryotic LSU rRNA". The stretch from base 104 to 257 matches the Rfam family "5.8S ribosomal RNA". Lineage: Eukaryota; Fungi. The record is from RNAcentral.
CGGCGGAAAGGUCACAAGCAAUUGUGGCUUGGAAGCCUUCCUAUGUUUUAUUACAAACGCUUCAGUUUAAGAAUGUAUCUCUGCGUAUAACGCAUCUAUAUACAACUUUCAGCAACGGAUCUCUUGGCUCUCGCAUCGAUGAAGAACGCAGCGAAAUGCGAUAAGUAAUGUGAAUUGCAGAAUUCAGUGAAUCAUCGAAUCUUUGAACGCACCUUGCGCUCCCUGGUAUUCCGGGGAGCAUGCCUGUUUGAGUGUCAUGGUAUUCUCAACCUUCAUAACUUUUUGUUAUCGAAGGCUUGGACUUGGAGGUUGUGCUGGCUACUCGUCUAGUCGGCUCCUCUUAAAUGCAUUAGCGUGAGUGUAACGGAUCGCUUCGGUGUGAUAAUUAUCUGCGCCGUGGUCGUGAAGUAACAUAAGCUUGCGCUUCUAACCGUCCUUCAGUUGGACAAUUUACUUUGACAUCUGACCUCAAAUCAGGUAGGACUACCCGCUGAACUUAAGCAUAUCAAUAAGCGGAGGA